Long non-coding RNA from Drosophila busckii, 466 nucleotides. RefSeq lists it as uncharacterized. The record is from RefSeq and is a predicted model, not a curated record. Lineage: Eukaryota; Metazoa; Arthropoda; Insecta; Diptera; Drosophilidae. The transcript has 3 exons.
GCGCUUCAAAUGAUUAAACACACACACACACAUAUACACACGCAUGGGGUGCGCGCACAUUUGUAACAGUUAAUUUACUUUGAAGCUUCUUUUUUUCGGGUGACUUUGUUAAAUCACAAGUUAACUUUUGUAAUGAAGCGCAGCCAGCGCAGCUCCCUUCGCUUUAUGUGUGUGGGAUGUUUGUCGCUUUAAAAAGCAAUGGGCAAUGGCUGAAUAAUGAUGAUGAUAAUGCUGCUGAUGACAACGAGCUUGUCUGAAAGCAACGCGAAAAAAAAUACUUGACUAAGUAUUCAAGCAAACACGCGCGCGACACAAAAAAAUUAUUGUACGAAGUACGCAGAGCUGCCAACAAAAUGUGAGCCGACGAGAAUUGCUGCUACAAGAAGAAAAUACUAGUCGUAUACUCAAUAUUUAACUGAACCUACAUCGACACUUAAUCUCCAAGCAACAGCAAUUCAAAGAAAAU